CUUGUCUGUGAUGAUUUUUGUCCGUAACGUUUCGAGUUUAAUUGACCAUGAGACGACUUUACAUGCACUACCAUCUGAGACAUG
Small nucleolar RNA from Synchiropus splendidus (mandarinfish), 84 nucleotides. Lineage: Eukaryota; Metazoa; Chordata; Actinopteri; Syngnathiformes; Callionymidae. The record is from RefSeq and is a predicted model, not a curated record.